AUUUAAAGAGUGCGUAAUAGCUCACUGGUCGAGUGCUGAUGCGCCGAAGAUUAACGGGGCUAAAACCUGCCACCGAAGCUAUGGAUUUGCCGCAAGGCAAGUGGUAGAGGAGCAAUGUGUACAGGCAGAAGCCGUACCGUCAGGAGCGGUGGACAGUACACAAGAGAGAAUGCCGGUAUGAGUAGCGAGAGUGAGGUGAGAAUCCUCACCGUCGAAAGCCAAAGGUUUCCUGAGGAAGGUUCGUCCUCUCAGGGUAAGUCGGGGACUAAGCCGAGGGCGGUAGAGCCGUAGGCGAUGACCAGCAGGUAGAGAUUCCUGCACCACCAGUGUAUCGUUUGAGGAAGCAGUGACACAGAAGGAUAGUCAGAGCGCGUUGAUGGUAGAGCGCGUCCAAGCAGUGAGGCUGAUACGCAGUAAAGUACACGUAUCGAAAGGCUGGGCUGUGACGGGGAGUUAAGUGAUAUGAAGCUGAUGAAUUCACGCUGGCGAGAAAAGCUGCUAACGAGAUAUACGGUGCCCGUACCGCAAACCGACACAGGUAGGCGAGGAGAGAAUCCUAAGACGAGCGAGAGAACCAUUGUUAAGGAACUCGGCAAAAUUACCUCGUAACUUCGGGAGAAGGGGUGCCUAUAGAGAUAUAGGUCGCAGAGAAUAGGCCCAAGCGACUGUUUAACAAAAACACAGGUCUGUGCUAAAUCGAGAGAUGAAGUAUACGGGCUGACGCCUGCCCGGUGCUGGAAGGUUAAGGGAAUGAGUCAGGAGCAAUCCGAAGCUUUGAACUGAAGCCCCAGUAAACGGCGGCCGUAACUAUAACGGUCCUAAGGUAGCGAAAUUCCUUGUCGGGUAAGUUCCGACCUGCACGAAUGGCGUAACGAUUUGGGCGCUGUCUCAACAGUGGACUCGGCGAAAUUGUAGUAUGCGUGAAGAUGCGCAUUACCCGCGACUGGACGGAAAGACCCCGUAGAGCUUUACUGUAGCCUGAUAUUGGAUUUUGGUAAUGAAUGUACAGGAUAGGUGGGAGACUGAGAGACAAGGACGUCAGUUUUUGUGGAGUCGACGUUGGGAUACCACUCUUUCAUUACUGAAAUUCUAACCUGUAGCCGUAAAUCCGGUAUGGGGACAGUGUCAGGUGGGCAGUUUGACUGGGGCGG
This 1151-nucleotide ribosomal RNA is filed under the name human gut metagenome. RNAcentral describes it as "bacterial LSU rRNA". It matches the Rfam family "Bacterial large subunit ribosomal RNA", at positions 1121 to 2282 of the family's 2925-position model. The record is from RNAcentral.